GUGUUCGGGUUGUCACGCCAGUGGCACUGCCCGGUAGCUAAGUUCGGAAUCGAUAACCGCUGAAAGCAUCUAGCGGGAAGCGAGCCCUGAGAUGAGUCAUCCCUGACCCCUUGAGGGUCCUAAAGGGCCGUUGGAGACCACAACGUUGAUAGGUGGGGUGUGUAAGCGUAGCGAUACGUUGAGCUAACCCAUACUAAUUACCCGUGAGGCUUAACCAUACAACACCCAAGAAGUGUUCUG
RNAcentral lists this ribosomal RNA (240 nucleotides) under Aeromonas caviae. RNAcentral's name for it is "partial 23S ribosomal RNA". It matches the Rfam family "Bacterial large subunit ribosomal RNA", at positions 2712 to 2925 of the family's 2925-position model. The record is from RNAcentral. Lineage: Bacteria; Pseudomonadati; Pseudomonadota; Gammaproteobacteria; Aeromonadales; Aeromonadaceae.